This 245-nucleotide long non-coding RNA is filed under the name Lathyrus oleraceus (garden pea). RNAcentral's name for it is "Pisum sativum (pea) long non-coding RNA (PSAT_LNC035058)". Lineage: Eukaryota; Viridiplantae; Streptophyta; Magnoliopsida; Fabales; Fabaceae. The record is from RNAcentral.
GAGUCUAUCCUUGAAAUGUUCAUCCUAACUGGUGACAGAUAUUCUCUUUUCGGUAUUCUAUCCAGUAAAUGAUAGAUGUAAUUCCCAUUUAUCCCCUCGAAGUCUAUCCUUGAUAUGUUCAUCCUAACCAGUGACAUAUAUUCUCUUUUCGGUAUUCUAUCCAGUAUCCGAUAGAUGUAAUUCCUUCUUUUUCCCUGUAGUCUAUCCUUGAUAUGUUCAUCUUAAAUGAUGACGGAUAUUCUUCC